This 305-nucleotide ribosomal RNA is filed under the name uncultured bacterium. RNAcentral's name for it is "bacterial SSU rRNA". It matches the Rfam family "Bacterial small subunit ribosomal RNA", at positions 335 to 654 of the family's 1533-position model. The record is from RNAcentral.
GUACCUACGGGAGGCAGCAGUGGGGAAUAUUGGGCAAUGGGCGCAAGCCUGACCCAGCAAUGCCGCGUGAAGGAAGAAGGCCCUCGGGUUGUAAACUUCUUUUAUCAGGGACGAAGGAUGUGACGGUACCUGAUGAAUAAGCUCCGGCUAACUACGUGCCAGCAGCCGCGGUAAUACGUAGGGAGCAAGCGUUAUCCGGAAUUACUGGGUGUAAAGGGAGCGCAGGCGGGACUGCAAGUUGGAUGUGAAAUACCGCAGCUUAACUGCGGAGCUGCAUCCAAAACUGUAGUUCUUGAGUGGAGUAG